CAGACGAAAACUCCUUGUCUCCUCUGGGUUUGGUAUCUUGUCCCUGAAGUGCCCACAGCUGUGCUGGCUACGGCAGUGGUGGUUCCAUGAGGGCAAUCACAUCAUCAUGUCAUAGCGUGAUCCACUCGUCAAUGGAUUAAUCCUCAAACAAGCCAAAAGCUCGAUGAACUAUUAAGAGCUCCAGAUUUGGAGGAUGUGGGUUCUAGCAGACAACCUUUGGAGCCGUUUCCCCCUCCUCCUUCCUCCCUGCUCUCCAGCAAAGGUUAGCAACUGCUCCAUCACACCAUAGGCCCAGAAGCAAGGAAAGCAGGCAACCAUGAACUGAAAUCUCAAAGCCAUGAGUAAAAACACCCCUUUACUCCUCUAGGCUGUCAGAGGUUUUUGUCAUUGUAAUGAAAAGCUAACGUGCACUUGCAAAUACGCAUACAUGUGUGUAAAAUAUAGUGCUAUACAUGUCA
Molecule: long non-coding RNA, 458 nt
Organism: Mesocricetus auratus (golden hamster)
Lineage: Eukaryota; Metazoa; Chordata; Mammalia; Rodentia; Cricetidae
Exons: 2
Source: RefSeq, a predicted model, not a curated record